Long non-coding RNA from Triticum aestivum (bread wheat), 1890 nucleotides. RefSeq lists it as uncharacterized. The transcript is spliced from 5 exons. The record is from RefSeq and is a predicted model, not a curated record. NCBI's taxonomy places the organism in Eukaryota, Viridiplantae, Streptophyta, Magnoliopsida, Poales, Poaceae.
AGUCGCCCGCAUCCUCUCGCACCCCGCACGCCUACCUGCAUCUCCCUGACGGCUUCGCCUCACCGGCGGCAGGCCACCCCGCCGCCCAACUAGCCUCGCCUCGCACCGGAGGCAGGCCAACCCUCCGCCCGACUCGCCUCGCCUCGCACCGGAGGCGGCCAGAGGCAGGCCAACCCUCCGCCCGACUCGCCUCGCCUCGCACCGGAGGCGGCCGGUGGCAGGUCGGAGCCCCCCCGCCACUGCCGCCAUCUACCACCACCAUCCUCGCCGCUCCCUCCCCUCGCCCAGCCAUAUCUAGACGCCUAACCAGGAGAGGAGGAGGGGGGUUGACAAGGAGAGAGCAGUCAGCAGGCGGCGGCGGCUCUGAGUACAGGUAGGCGACGGCGGCAACUGGGUAGCAGCGAGCGGCCGAUUCAUCUCGCCUUCAUCUCCUUGCUAGCUCCAUGUCCUUCGCAGGUUCUAAGAUAUGGCCUCUACUCCUCGACAGCCACACCGAGCGGCCCAUCCAAGAAACCAGCCCUGCCGCCCUACUACUCCCAACCCCCCUGAGUCUCAACCUCACCGCCUAUUCUGGUCGAUGCUGUGAUUGAUAAUAACCAGGAAGAUUUCACUGCUCAGUUCAUCCAUUUGAAUCCUUCUGCUGUAAUUCGGUUCCCUACCCUUUCUUACUUGCAGGAAAUUCAAGUGCAGUACACAUAAAGAUGAUCACAGUGGAGGAGAUCUCGACGGUCGACGUGAAGCCGGGGCGGAAGAAGGGCACGAAUAUCACCUUCCUAGAAGGAACGAUCUGAUUUUUCUGGAGGAUCCAGACAGGGAGGUGCUUCACACCCUGCGUCUAGGCAUGCACUGCAACGCCAACCACAUGGCUAAGAUGGCCGUUGCUAUCACCGAGUUCCGCGCUCUCUGCUACUUCAUUGAAUCCAGAUGCGGAAACUAAAAGGCGAGUACCAUGGGAUCAUGAAGUAUAUAAAGCAAAGGAGGAGCUGUACCAUCUCCUCUCCGGCAAGAAUUUUUUUUUCGUUGGCGAUUGAACGAAUUGAAUGCAAGAUUGCAUUGUUAGAAGGACGGAGAGUGGAACACCAGCUUCAGUUUCUCAGAUCCCACCUUCUCAACUUGAUUCCCUGUUUGCAUUCGCCAUUCUCAACAAGCACCAGGACAUGGCUUUGGUUCUGCACAAACAAUAUCUUCAGUUACAAGAAUUCUCGCCGAUAGAAUUGAUCUGGGCCGGUGUGCUCGGACGGCAAGAAUGCCUCGAUGACCACCAUGCCCAAGGCGAUGUACUUCUCUGGCGAUGGCUGUGGGUGGGUGUGGACUUGCUCCGAUUGGAUGAUGUGUGUGCGUCGUGUUGAAGUUGAAGAUGGACCAUUGUUUCAACUCUAGACGACAUGGACGGUUGAGCUUGAUCACGUUUGUCGUGAAUAGGUGGACAACAUGGCCCCGUAUGUUGAAAAAGAGAAGUGAUAGCACAAUAUAGUGCUAAAUGUGUGUAAGGAUUUGUUUAAUCGUUGCAACGCACAGGUGAUUUUUUGCUCAAUCGAGGCCGUAGUGCACAACCACUGUUGCGCAUCGGGAAAAAAUGUUUCCUAAGCCCCGGGCCGCUACGGGCGCAGGCGUCGGAGCAUCGCAUCACACAAAGAGGCAGAACCUCAUAAACGCCAUCAAGGAACUACAAUCGGAGAAAGCCACAACAUUGUCCAGGUCGACGCCAAACCAGCGACUCGAACAGACGGCGUCGAUCCAGAACAACGAGGCACACAUGGCAAGGCGUCGCCGGGGAUUCGCCACAGAAGAAAACUGUGAUCUAUGCCGGCGCAGAGCAGCGGACGAUACGGUGGUCGACGGCAGCAUUUACUAGGGAUAGUGAAAUGGGGAACAUGAAUAGAGAUAGUG